AGUGAACGCUGGCGGUAGGCCUAACACAUGCAAGUCGAACGGCAGCACAGUAAGAGCUUGCUCUUACGGGUGGCGAGUGGCGGACGGGUGAGGAAUACAUCGGAAUCUACUUUUUCGUGGGGGAUAACGUAGGGAAACUUACGCUAAUACCGCAUGCGACCUACGGGUGAAAGCAGGGGAUCUUCGGACCUUGCGCGAUUGAAUGAGCCGAUGUCGGAUUAGCUAGUUGGCGGGGUAAAGGCCCACCAAGGCGACGAUCCGUAGCUGGUCUGAGAGGAUGAUCAGCCACACUGGAACUGAGACACGGUCCAGACUCCUACGGGAGGCAGCAGUGGGGAAUAUUGGACAAUGGGCGCAAGCCUGAUCCAGCCAUACCGCGUGGGUGAAGAAGGCCUUCGGGUUGUAAAGCCCUUUUGUUGGGAAAGAAAAGCGGCAGGUUAAUACCCCGCUGUUCUGACGGUACCCAAAGAAUAAGCACCGGCUAACUUCGUG
This 492-nucleotide ribosomal RNA is filed under the name uncultured bacterium. Its description in RNAcentral is "partial 16S ribosomal RNA". It matches the Rfam family "Bacterial small subunit ribosomal RNA", at positions 29 to 507 of the family's 1533-position model. The record is from RNAcentral.